AAUUUUGAAAUAUCACAGAAAAAAACACAAAACCUAAACGUAAACCUAAAACCCAUUUUUUUUAAGGCAGCCGCCGCCCCCUCCCCCCUGGUUUUAAUUUUUUUUCGACAGCUGCCGGCCACAAGAAAAAAAUCCAAGACAGCUCCCCGAUCCUCCUCUCGGCUGUUUCUCCCUUUCUUCUCCUUCGGCUACUCAUCCUUCAGAAACCAGAGCCGGCUUAUUCUCCCCUUUCCACUUUCAAAGCCAGCAGCCCCCACCUCUCCUUCAUUUCUUUCUCCAGCUUCUCCCCUCAACCAUGGCCGCCCCUAUUUUUUCAAAAAAAUAGAAAAACACCACUUGAAAACAAAGACAGCCCCGAACCCCUCCCUCUUGAUUUUCUUCUUCCUCAGCCGCCGGACAAGCCUCGCCCCAGGCCAUUUUUUUCUUCGUUUAUCUUCUCCCUUCAGCCGGGCGGAUCUUCAGCUCCUUUCAACAGAAAACAGAAGGAAAGCCCCCGCUACUCCCAUUUCCUUAUCUCCCUUUCAGCAGCGGCUCCUCCCCACAGAGCCGUUCUCCCACCUCCACCAAGCCACCGAUCUGCCACCCGAAGCAGAGGAGAAGAAGACGAAACCCAGCGCCCACCGGACAAGCAGCAGCAAGGCCAGCCACCGCUGUUCCUUUCCCCAGCAGCGUCGCUCCCCCUUUUUGCAACCGCCGGAUCCACCACCAGAAAUAGAGGAGAAGAAGACACCCACAACCGCCGGCCAUCUGAACAGAAGAAGAGGAAACGGAAACAAUCUGCAGAGAGGGGCAGAUCGAAGACGGCGGAGAAAGAAAGAACAAAAAAAAACAGAUUUGAAAAAACUAAGAAAAAACUUAAAAUCGACUGCCCUUGCUGUCUGUGUUUUUUUAUUUACAGGUAACACCGGCGAGGACGGGAAGAGGGGAUGAAGCUGCCACCAGACCUCCUGCUGCGUUUUUUUCGGGGCGGCGCGUGAGCCCACGCGCCGCCAGUCACGGCGGUGCGUCGGGUCCACGCGCCGCUGCUGUUCAGGCAGCCCAGAACUGUUCCUGAAGGGUUUUCCAGCACUGUUAUGGAUUGUUUAGGGACCAUUUUGUAAAUUUUAAAGUUUUAAUGUAAUUUUUGUUUAUUUAUUUUAAAUUUGUAAUAUGUGAAUGUAAAAAAAAAAAAGAAGAAAAGAAAAGAAAAUAAUAAUAAAAAAGGGGAUGUGUGUGUUGGUGUAUUUUCAUUUAUUUAUUUUGAAUUUGAAUUUGUAUUUGUAUUUGUAUUGUGGAUGUAAAAGAAAAGAAGAAAAAAAAAAAGAAAAAAAAAGAAAAAAUAGUGAAACUGUAUGUGUAUAUGUGUUUGUAUUUUAUUUUAUUUAUUUGUUUUUUUUACGAUAAAAUUGCAAAAUAUUAAAGAAGAAUUUAAUAUUUUGAUCGGAUCACGGUUAAGAAUUAUUAACUUAUACGUAAGUGAUAUUUCUAAUUUCCGACGAAAAGACAAUUAUUAAAACUUCUUUAACACGUCAAAGCCACGAAGCAGCUUACCUCAGGUAGGGUGCGUUAGGGGUGCUAAUACCUUCCCUAACCACAACCAGUCCUUACCCGCGAAUCUCUGACAGACCAGUGCAUCCGGUUUCCUAGUAGCCUUCAAUAAAUUACUAGGUGGCGACUCAACGAACGAAUUCAAAACACGCAACAACGAGAUGAAAAAUCGCCACCGAUGCCGCGCGCUGAUUUUUUGGGGUGCGACAGAAUGGCGACUCCACUGGGGAAGGUAUUUUUUCGAUUAUUGGACUAAGCUUUGUGUAUUUGAUGUGUUUAAGUUUUUGCAUUUUUAUCUUUUUGUUAAUAUUUAUUUCCAUGCAUUUUAUAGAAUUGUCUCAUGCAUCACCUGUAUUUAUUUUUAAAAGCACACACAAGCUUCUAGGUUAGGUGGGGAACUAGCGAUCUGCCCUAAGACUAUUGGUCAGGGUUCAGAUGCGUGAAACACCCAACUCAUAUCUGAGUGCCUGCUUGGUAAUGGUGGGUAUAUGUGCCUUAACCAUUCCUUGCAACGCCCCCAAACUGUCUUUACGAAGAACGUCACUGGGCAGAUAUGAGACCCUUUUGAGACCAGAUAGAAAACUUACCCAUGUUCACAUAAUGAAUAGAACCUGUCCUUAGGUUGUAUGUGCUAUCGUUUUUUGCAUAAGGGCAAACCCUUCUUGAAGCAUCUUGAACUCAAGACUUGUGGGUGACACAUUGGCCGUUGCUCCGAAAAUUUUCAUUGUAGAGUUUGGGCAAAAAUCACGAUUCUUGUCCAUCAUACAAGAGUUACGACCAUAUUGUCACCUCUCGAAGGGAGAGUUCAUCAUAUAGAUUACAUGUUCAUACAUUUAUCAUGCAUGAACCGGGUCGAAACGUAGGUCCCUUGUACAAGUUGUGCUGCACGAGAUUGAAGAAAAAUAAUGGAAGUGAACAAAGGAGUCAGAUAUAGGUUCAGCAUCAGAUUAAGGUUGAGAGCAUCAAGAGUGAAGUAGCGGGACUCAGAUCUGCUCGAACAAGUGUUGAGCAUCAAAUGAAAAGAGAAUGUCUGCACAGUUUGCUGUGGGAACACUGCUUGUUCACGUCCAAUUGAAGAUGUACCUUUCCUUUUCAAUCAUGAACAACAACAACAACGCCUUCAGUCAUCAACUAAUGACAACUCUGAUUCCUGUCCAGUCGCGCUGUUAAGUAUUCAUCGCCUCCACAUCAUCUAAUGGAACCAAACGACUACUAACCUCCUGUUCAUGGUGCAUUAGUCUGCUUUGAAGUUACCCCAAUUAUGAGCAAUUCCAGUUCAGCAGCACAAGAUGUUGGUCUAAAAAAAAAACCAUGAUCAAACACUGAAUUUCAACGCGGUAGAGCUCUCUCUGUAGAGAUUUAUUUGUGGAUCUGUCAAUGGCAAAUGCAAAAGGGAAUGUAUUAAUUUCAUAUGCUUUGAAACUUUUUCCACCGGUGGCACCAGCAAAACAUUGUAGUAGGCAGAAGAGUCAGACCUGGUCUGAUAAUAUUAGUAGUUGUCAAACUUCAAUGUGGCAGAGCUCUCUCUACAAAAAUCCAUUUAUGGCUCUGCAAAUUGGGAAUGCAAGAGGGGAUUUACUAAUUGCAUAUGCUACAAAUAUUUCUCUCAUCAGUUUCAGCACGAAGAAACUAUAGCAGGUUGAAGAGCCAGACUUGGCUUGAAAAAUAUGAGUAGACAUCAAACUUCAACGUAGCAGAGCUCUCUCGACAGGAAUCUGUUUGUGGAUCCGCAAGUGUGAAAUCCAAGAAGGAAUACAGUAGUUUCAGAUCAUUUAUGAUUUUUCUCCAACAGUGUCAGUAUUAAAAUGCAAAAGUAAAGAGAAGAUACAUGCCUAGACUGAAAAACAUGAAGAAUACUGAAACUUCAACAGAGCAGGACUUCCUCUAUAGGUGUUUGUUUGCUGCACUGUCAGUGAGAAAUUGAAGAGGGGACGAAGGAGUUUUAGAUUCAUCAGGUGCUCUUCCAAUAAAGACAAUGUGUGAUUCCACACGUCGGUAGUGGCGAUACUAGAAGUUUCUGGAUGCUGCCAAGAUUACCAAGCUGUUAGAAAGUUUUCUAACAAUCCUCAACCAACCAUAGCAACAUUGGAAGAUUGAAGGAUCUGCCAUGGAUUCUAGAACAAUGAUGAGAGGUGAAUCAGGAGAUGACUUUGACAGUGUGAACCCUUAAUUAUGUGGUAUAGCCAGGUCUCACGGCAUCAUCAAUUGCUCAAAAUAUCUUUGCCAAGAUGGGACAUUGCUCUGCCGUUUAAGUUGUCGACCAGCAUCCGCAAGAUUCCAGAAUUUUGCUUGACUCCGACAAAUUCCCAUGCAACCACCAAUUUCUUAGUGGUAUAAUCCAGAUAAGAGAUGUGAUGUCAUGGUGGGGUCCUCAACCAUUUCAAGUGAACAGUUUCAAGAAUAGCAAGAAUUGAGUCUGGAAGUUGGUGAGCAAGAGACAGGUGGAGUCGUUGAAGAAGGGUGUCACUGGCUAUAUUGUUCCCCGAACAUCUUCAGAAGGACAUGUGAUCGAAAAUGCUUGGCAAAACACAGAUAUUGCCAGAAAAGCUGAUUCGAGAAGGGUGAUGAACAGUCAAUCAUAUUGUUAUGGAAUUCUGCAUUUUGUUUUGGGAUCACAUCUCAUCCUUCAACGAAACAUGCCUUGCUUUUGUCUCUUUGUUGUUUUGAAAUCAACAGAUGUUUAGCAUUUUAUUCUGACAAAAUAUUUUGAUCAAACUACAACAUGCGAUAAAGGUUAAUCAAUCCGGAAGAUUAGAAGUGUUUUGAUUACAGAAAUGACUCUAUGCUUGAAAAUGACAUGAGGUGACCAAACAAUUUUGAACUCAUACCUCCUGAAACUGAACCACACAUCAUAUAGCUAAGUUUUAACAGUAUGCAUAAUGACAUGUAGUGGAUUCGGUAGUCAUGGACUCGUGAAUCAUGAUUCUUACAAGUCCCAAUCAUUACACUGGAUGAGGUCAAAAUUUAUCGGUUAUAACCGACCUUGCUUGAAAUGAGAAAAGGCCAUCUUUGAUAUCCCUUCACUUUCUAAAGAUUAUAUCCCUUGCAGUCCCAUUUUGAGCCUGGUAAAAUAUUUUCUUUCAAAAAAAGAAACCCUGACUAGGAUCACACCCCACACUGGGGGCAAAUGAGAGAUAUUUUGGAGACAUUGAUAUAAUUAAUGGAUAAAGGGGAAGGCUUAGAACAAAGGUCCAAUGAUUGAGAGAGAGCUAAAAGAAAACACAUAGACUGGGGGCAUAUAAGAAAAUUUUGAGGAAGGCUAUGAAAAAAAAAAAAAAGAGAAUGAAAAAAGGAAGUUGAAAUUGCCUUCACUUAAAUACAAGUCAAAGAUAAAGGAAGGAGAACGCCUAUCAAGUCUAUGAAGAGCAAAAGAAAUUUCAAUCAAGGAAAGGCACAACAAAAGUCAAUACCAGAAAAAAGACUAAGCUAUAAGCGUUGACUUUUGGUAUCCGUUAUAAAACCUAUGAUGAUUAAGGUUGGUUAUUCCUCAAAGAAAGUUGGAUUUGCAUUAUGACUUAUGUUAAGAAAAGUCGGAACUUUGAGGUUAACAAGGUUAUAUGUCGUUUCCUCUAUAAAGAUAACAAUAGAAAACAAGUUGAUGAAUAGUUGAUGUUGAUCCUAGGUCUUUGAAACCCUCAAACACCUUUUGAGCCUGUGAAAUUCCUUUCUUUCAUAGCCAUGAACCAUAGCCUGCAUUACAUGCUUUUUAAAGCCCUUUUUAAUCAAGCAAGCAACUUGAACCGAUAAAUGGCGCUCUCAAAACUUGAAGAGUUUUUCCAUAAGAGUCGUGACUUCAUGAAUUAAGUUACCGGUCGUUAUGCAUGUUGAUAAAAUUAUUGCUAAAAACAAAACAUGUUUCCUUCAUGAAUCCUCAAGUUUUGACUUGAGCCUGUUGUUUUCCUUGAAAUUCACAGAAGGUCACCUCACCAUAAACUAUCAAAUGAUAUACCCAAUAUCAAGGAUUCAAAUUGAUACAAAGAACCAUGGAAAAAGCCAUUUUUAAUCCUACAUUGGGUCAAUUUCUGUUUUCAAAAUGCAUGACAAUCAAAGGACUAUAUAUUUCGAAUAAAAUGUGUUGGGCCUUUGAUCAAAAAGCUUGAUUUUCAAAAGAUUUUAAAAAAAGACAUCUCUGAUUUUCAUUUCAACAAACUAGACUUUGAAUAGACAUGAUCUUUGAAAUAUGAGAGUUGAUUCCAGAACAAGGAAGAUUAUCAAACACAGAAGAACAUUGAUUGAGUAUGCAAAAUCGUUGAUAGAAAUGACAUUGAAGUCCUCGACACUCCUUGAAAAGUUGAGCAGCUGGGGGCAAUACAGUAGACCUUGAAAAGGAAAAACAAGCAGUGCUCAGAUCAGCUAUGAGGCAAUGUUUAAAUGAUGAAUCAGUGAACUGAAGACAAUGAUGUUCAAAGACAGAUAAUCAAUGAACGAGCACAUUCGGAUUACUGGGGCAAUGUCAUUCCAAAAUGGCCCAUGCUUUAGUGAAUCCUGUCGGCAAUGGAGAAACAACGUACCUGAAGGCACUUUCCUAUCAUCAUUUUUUGAAACAUGGCUCGCGAUCGAUGAGGAAUACACAGAUGAAUGUAAUUGGUGAAAAGAUGCACACCACCAAGACUGACUGUGGAACAAUGCUGCACUUAAAGGACAAUCUCAUAUUGUCAUUCUUUGAAACAUGGUUAUAGACAGAUGUUAUCACACAACUGCACUGAAUGAAUGUCGGAAAGGCACCCACCUCGAAGACUGAUUGUGGGACAUCUAUUCUGAAGCUCAAAUGCGCACUUCACCGCAUGAAUAUGGGUGAUAACAUGAACAUCAUUGAUGAUGCCAAAGCAGGUAUUUUCACGAUCUGAUUUGACAAGCUAAGAGGAAUCCAUAGAGAAAUACAUCGCGCUUACAAUGAUGAGCUGUUUACUGCAAAGCAUGAGAUACAUGUCUGGAUGACUUGGCAGUUCCAUGAAGGCUGGUGACCAUACAUACUUGAAUGGUGUUUCAACCGAAGGCAAGUUCAUGACUGAUUAACAAACGUGAUGGGUGUUGGCAUGAUGCACACAAUCAAUCAGAGGAUAAUUUCUCAGAAGAAGCCAGGAGAGAAAAUCUCUCAUGAUGAAUCAAGCAGUACUACACUUGGGGGCAGGGUCAAGCUUCAUGAACGAUGCAAGCAGUAAUUGUCGAAGACAGCCCGGGAUGGGCACUGCAUUUACAGCUGAGUGGAUGGCUAACACAUGAAUGAGCCAAUACAUCGGAAGAACAAAGAAAGCUUUGGGAUACAAACAAGGGCACCCUAUGACGAUGGAGCAUCAAAGAGGGGGGACCUAUUAUUUCAAAUCAGGUAAGGAUGCAUGCAUAUCAUCUAACCUCAAAAAAAAAAAAAAAAAAAAACCAUUUGCACAUAUUUUUGAAUUGUUACAGGAAAAUCCUUAAUGAGGUCCAGCAAGAUGGUGGAAAGAGAAAGAAGCAUUGUGGUGAUGAUAAUAAAGAAUCGGUUUUGAUCAUGGAAUAAAAGGACGAUGGGAUGAACCCUACCAUUAGGAAAAUCCCAAAGAAAUGAAUAGAUCAACCUUGCAACCGGGAAGCCUCGAGUUUUCAACCCUUGCAGUCAGGAAACACCGAGUUUUCAAACCCCAUGAUCGGGAAUUAUCAGGAAGCACCAAGUCUUCCAGCCCUUUCUUCUGUCAUCCCUUCAGAACUUCGCCAGGUAAGUCCUAUUUUUCACACUUGUCAUAUCACAUUUUUCCAUCUGGGUAGGUCACCCAUCAUAAUGAGACCAUUUUUGUUCACAUUUUCCACUGGGUGGUCACCCAUACAAUGAGACCGUUUUUCACAUUUUUUCCAUCCGGGUAGGUCACCCAUGACAAUGAGACCACACUUCAUCAUUUUUUUCCAUCUGGGUAGGUCACCCAUUACAAUGAGACCGCACUUCAUAUUUUCUCCAUGGGUAGGUCACCCAUACAAUGAGACCAUCAUUUUUCCGGGGUUCGUCACCCAUACAAUGAGACCAUCAUUUUUCUGGGUUCGUCACCCAUACAAUGAGACCAUCAUUUUUCUAGGGUUCGUCACCCGUACAAUGAGACCAGCAUUUUUCUAGGGUUCGUCACCCGUACAAUGAGACCAGCACUAGGGUUCGUCACCCGUACAAUGAGACCAGCAGCACUAGGUUCGUCACCCGUACAAUGAGACCAUCAUUUUUCGAGGGUUAGUCACCCGUACAAUGAGACCAGAAUGAGGUCGCCAGAUGGGAUCUCAUGUAGCUUUGGUUAAAGGGAAUCGCCAGAUGGGAUUUCAGGUUAACCGAGUUACACAUAUUUCGUUUUAGUUGAAUGAGGUCGCCAGAUGGGAUCUCAUGUAACUUUGGUUAAAGGGAAUCGCCAGAUGGGAUUUCAGGUUAACCGAGUUACACAGUUUAGUUCCAAUUGAAUGAGGUCGCCAGAUGGGAUCUCAUGUAGCUUUGGUUAAAGGGAAUCGCCAGAUGGGAUUUCAGGUUAACCGAGUUACACACAUUUUCGUUCCAGUUGAAUGAGGUCGCCAGAUGGGAUCUCAGGUAGCUUUGGUUAAAGGGAAUAGCCAGAUGGGAUUUCAGGUUAACCGAGUUACACACAGUUUAGUUCCAAUUGAAUGAGGUCGCCAGAUGGGAUCUCAUGUAGCUUUGGUUAAAGGGAAUCGCCAGAUGGGAUUUCAGGUUAACCGAGUUACACAAUAUUUUCGUUCCAGUUGAAUGAGGUCGCCAGAUGGGAUCUCAGGUAAACCCAAUGUGUGGGCAGGUCGCCCGUGAAAAUAGACUAUUGGGAGAGUGUGGGUCGGUCGCCCGUGAAAAUAGACUAGAGUGAGUAUGUGUAGGCAGGUUGCCCCAAGAUAAUGAAAUCAUUUUCCUUUUGUUUUCUUUACAAAGCUUACUAUGCAAAAUUUUAAGGAUUUUCGCUUCGUAAGCAUUGUAAAGAGGGGGCAUCUGUUGCUACCCAAUUUUUGACCCAUGUUUUUGAUAUUUUUUCAAAAAAAAUCCAAAAAUAGAGAAAACAAUGAAAAUCCAAAAAAUAUGUUUUUUUUAAUAUAUUCUCGUCAUUUAGCAUUUCAGCGUCGUCUAAAAAGAUUUUAAUUUUUAUUUAAAGAAUUUAAUUUUUCAAAAAGAUUUUCGAACGCGUUCGACUUUUCAGCGUCAUUUUUAAAAUCAUUGAUUUUCCGUAUUUUGAGUCGACGUUGAUAUUGCUCGUUUUCAAAAAAUACAAAAAAUAAUAAAAAUCAAAAUUUACAAAAAGAAAGAAGUUGAGGGACCAAGUUGAAAAACCUAGCAAAAUUUUUGUCUAUAAAUACUGGUUUCCAACACUUGUAAAGGGGGGGGGCAAUUUUGAAAUAUCACAGAAAAAAACACAAAACCUAAACGUAAACCUAAAACCCAUUUUUUUUAAGGCAGCCGCCGCCCCCUCCCCCCUGGUUUUAAUUUUUUUUCGACAGCUGCCGGCCACAAGAAAAAAAUCCAAGACAGCUCCCCGAUCCUCCUCUCGGCUGUUUCUCCCUUUCUUCUCCUUCGGCUACUCAUCCUUCAGAAACCAGAGCCGGCUUAUUCUCCCCUUUCCACUUUCAAAGCCAGCAGCCCCCACCUCUCCUUCAUUUCUUUCUCCAGCUUCUCCCCUCAACCAUGGCCGCCCCUAUUUUUUCAAAAAAAUAGAAAAACACCACUUGAAAACAAAGACAGCCCCGAACCCCUCCCUCUUGAUUUUCUUCUUCCUCAGCCGCCGGACAAGCCUCGCCCCAGGCCAUUUUUUUCUUCGUUUAUCUUCUCCCUUCAGCCGGGCGGAUCUUCAGCUCCUUUCAACAGAAAACAGAAGGAAAGCCCCCGCUACUCCCAUUUCCUUAUCUCCCUUUCAGCAGCGGCUCCUCCCCACAGAGCCGUUCUCCCACCUCCACCAAGCCACCGAUCUGCCACCCGAAGCAGAGGAAGAAGACGAAACCCAGCGCCCACCGGACAAGCAGCAGCAAGGCCAGCCACCGCUGUUCCUUUCCCCAGCAGCGUCGCUCCCCCUUUUUGCAACCGCCGGAUCCACCACCAGAAAUAGAGGAGAAGAAGACACCCACAACCGCCGGCCAUCUGAACAGAAGAAGAGGAAACGGAAACAAUCUGCAGAGAGGGGCAGAUCGAAGACGGCGGAGAAAGAAAGAACAAAAAAAAAACAGAUUUGAAAAAACUAAGAAAA
This 9710-nucleotide long non-coding RNA is filed under the name Populus tremula. Its description in RNAcentral is "long non-coding RNA (PTRE_LNC003444)". Lineage: Eukaryota; Viridiplantae; Streptophyta; Magnoliopsida; Malpighiales; Salicaceae. The record is from RNAcentral.